UACGGGGGGAGCAAGCGUUGUUCGGAUUUACUGGGCGUAAAGGGCGCGUAGGCGGCCACUGCAAGUCAGUUGUGAAAUCUCCGGGCUUAACCCGGAAAGGUCAACUGAUACUGCAGGGCUAGAGUGCAGAAGGGGCAACUGGAAUUCUCGGUGUAGCGGUGUAAUGCGUAGAUAUCGAGAGGAACACCUGCGGCGAAGGCGGGUUGCUGGGCUGACACUGACGCUGAGGCGCGAAAGCCAGGGGAGCAAACGGG
This 254-nucleotide ribosomal RNA is filed under the name uncultured bacterium. RNAcentral's name for it is "partial 16S ribosomal RNA". It matches the Rfam family "Bacterial small subunit ribosomal RNA", at positions 524 to 776 of the family's 1533-position model. The record is from RNAcentral.